Molecule: long non-coding RNA, 696 nt
Filed under: Mytilus galloprovincialis (Mediterranean mussel)
Lineage: Eukaryota; Metazoa; Mollusca; Bivalvia; Mytilida; Mytilidae
Source: RNAcentral
CAAAUAUCCAUUAAAUUUGAAGUUUUCCUCAAUCCACAUGAUCCACAAAAUUUGGUACCCACGAAAAUAAAUGAAUCCCCAGUAGGUUAAAUAUGCAAAAGUUGAAGUAAGGGCUAUUCCAGAAAAAAAUGUAGGGGGGGGGGUGGAAGGCAGUUUUUGUCUGCACCCGCCACCCAGACAAUUGUAAUUGAGAAUUAUAGUGUGAAAAGUUGCUCUGAUACCCAUCACCCAUGUAUUAUUGAUAUAAUGUGCCUUCCAACCAUUUUUUCUGGAAUAGCCCUAAGCACAACUUACAGAUGAUUUUUAAGUAGUCUCAUUCAUAUGGUUUACACUUUACUUUAUUAUAAAUAUUACUAGUCUAUUGAAACAAUUUUGACUGUUUGAGGAGCCAUGCAAUAAUUGUUUUCUCAUAUUUACUACUUCUUGAUAUUGCCCUUUAAGUUUUAAAACGAUGUAAAAAAUAUAUAUUAAAAUAGAUAUAAUAAAAAAAAAAUCCUAUAAAGUCAAUUGUAUGUGAAAUGUAAAAUACAUUAAAAGAAAUCCUAUAAAAGAAUGAAUGUGUAUUUCAAAUUCUGUUUGCCUUAGACUAUGGGUUAUGCUCAUUGUUUAAAGCUGUAUGGUGAUCUUAAAUUGCUGACCUAAACACAAUAGUCCUUGUUUGCCUUGAUAUGAAUUCCAAAGAAUUUUUUUUUGAAA